GGCCUGAUAGUUCAGUGGUAGAAUUCUUGCUUUGGGUUGUCAAAUCUAAAUUGUAAGAGGUCUCCGGUUCGAUCCCGGAUUAGGCCC
Molecule: transfer RNA, 87 nt
Filed under: Ciborinia camelliae
Lineage: Eukaryota; Fungi; Ascomycota; Leotiomycetes; Helotiales; Sclerotiniaceae
Also listed under: 1 other name
Description: tRNA-Pro
Rfam family: tRNA
About the family: Transfer RNA (tRNA) molecules are approximately 80 nucleotides in length. Their secondary structure includes four short double-helical elements and three loops (D, anti-codon, and T loops).
Source: RNAcentral